AAGGAAUAAGAGAACCAAGAAAAAGAGAGAAGUUGACAUGAAGAUGGCAACAUGUUGUGCUGGUAUGGGGUGUUUCAGCCACAGGCAUCUCUCUGAAGGCUCCAGGCUUAAACCUGCCGUCUUACCUUGAGAUGAGUUUUGAAACUUGUGGAGGUGAGAAUAUUGAAUUUUUAGAACAUUGUUCCCAUGAAGGAAUAUUGGAUGAAGCAUGUUUUCUCAUUCACGGAAGAAUAGUUCAAAGGGAAUGGACUUUAAAAAAAACAAAGAGUAAUCAUAUUAGAUGUUUCGAAGAGAUGACUGUGCCACAUCCAGGAAUAUCAGGGAGCCCUGUGCCCUGGAAAAUAUUUAGGAAAAGACACACAUGUACUCCUUGGAAAUGUUUGGGACUAAGUUUAAUAUCUGAACCAAAAUAAACACUGCACGGAA
Homo sapiens (human) is the source of this 426-nucleotide long non-coding RNA. RefSeq lists it as uncharacterized. The transcript has 2 exons. The record is from RefSeq and is a predicted model, not a curated record. Lineage: Eukaryota; Metazoa; Chordata; Mammalia; Primates; Hominidae.